RNAcentral lists this ribosomal RNA (429 nucleotides) under Chloroflexota bacterium. Its description in RNAcentral is "Chloroflexi bacterium partial 16S ribosomal RNA". It matches the Rfam family "Bacterial small subunit ribosomal RNA", at positions 355 to 776 of the family's 1533-position model. The record is from RNAcentral. Lineage: Bacteria; Bacillati; Chloroflexota.
UAGGGAAUCUUCGGCAAUGGACGAAAGUCUGACCGAGCAACGCCGCGUGAGUGAAGAAGGUUUUCGGAUCGUAAAACUCUGUUGUUAGAGAAGAACAAGGACGUUAGUAACUGAACGUCCCCUGACGGUAUCUAACCAGAAAGCCACGGCUAACUACGUGCCAGCAGCCGCGGUAAUACGUAGGUGGCAAGCGUUGUCCGGAUUUAUUGGGCGUAAAGCGAGCGCAGGCGGUUUCUUAAGUCUGGUGUGAAAGCCCCCGGCUCAACCGGGGAGGGUCAUUGGAAACUGGGAGACUUGAGUGCAGAAGAGGAGGGUGGAAGUCCAUGUGUAGCGGUGAAAUGCGUAGAUAUAUGGAGGAAAACCAGUGGCGAAGGAGGCUCUCUGGUCUGUAACUGACGCUGAGGCUCGAAAGCGUGGGGAGCAAACAGG